This 71-nucleotide transfer RNA is filed under the name Cicer arietinum (chickpea). It matches the Rfam family "tRNA". Rfam says of the family: Transfer RNA (tRNA) molecules are approximately 80 nucleotides in length. Their secondary structure includes four short double-helical elements and three loops (D, anti-codon, and T loops). The record is from Rfam by way of RNAcentral. Lineage: Eukaryota; Viridiplantae; Streptophyta; Magnoliopsida; Fabales; Fabaceae.
AACUCUUUAGCUCAGUUGGUUAGAGCGUGUGACUGUUAACCACAAGAUCGGAUGUUCGACCCUUUUAGUUU